AACGAACGCUGGCGGCAGGCUUAACACAUGCAAGUCGAGCGCCCCGCAAGGGGAGCGGCAGACGGGUGAGUAACGCGUGGGAACGUACCUUUUGGUUCGGAACAACUCCGGGAAACUGGAGCUAAUACCGGAUAAGCCCUAACGUGGAAAGAUUUAUCGCCGAAAGAUCGGCCCGCGUCUGAUUAGCUAGUUGGUGAGGUAACGGCUCACCAAGGCGACGAUCAGUAGCUGGUCUGAGAGGAUGAUCAGCCACACUGGGACUGAGACACGGCCCAGACUCCUACGGGAGGCAGCAGUGGGGAAUAUUGGACAAUGGGCGCAAGCCUGAUCCAGCCAUGCCGCGUGAGUGAUGAAGGCCUUAGGGUUGUAAAGCUCUUUUGUCCGGGAAGAUAAUGACUGUACCGGAAGAAUAAGCCCCGGCUAACUUCGUG
RNAcentral lists this ribosomal RNA (431 nucleotides) under uncultured bacterium. RNAcentral's name for it is "partial 16S ribosomal RNA". It matches the Rfam family "Bacterial small subunit ribosomal RNA", at positions 29 to 507 of the family's 1533-position model. The record is from RNAcentral.